RNAcentral lists this unclassified non-coding RNA (253 nucleotides) under uncultured Bacteriovoracaceae bacterium. Its description in RNAcentral is "contains 16S-23S intergenic spacer region". It matches the Rfam family "Bacterial small subunit ribosomal RNA", at positions 524 to 776 of the family's 1533-position model. The record is from RNAcentral. Lineage: Bacteria; Pseudomonadati; Bdellovibrionota; Bacteriovoracia; Bacteriovoracales; Bacteriovoracaceae.
UACGGAGGGUGUAAGCGUUGUUCGGAUUUACUGGGCGUAAAGCGCGCGCAGGCGGAUCGGCAAGUCAGAUGUGAAAUCCCGGGGCUCAGCCCCGGAACUGCGUCUGAAACUGCUAGUCUAGAGUCUCACAGGGGGCAGGGGAAUUUCACGUGUAGGGGUAAGAUCCGUAGAGAUUUGAAGGAACACCCGUGGCGAAGGCGCCUGCCUGGAUGAGCACUGACGCUGAGGCGCGAAAGCGUGGGGAGCAAACAGG